This 253-nucleotide ribosomal RNA is filed under the name uncultured microorganism. Its description in RNAcentral is "partial 16S ribosomal RNA". It matches the Rfam family "Bacterial small subunit ribosomal RNA", at positions 524 to 776 of the family's 1533-position model. The record is from RNAcentral.
UACGUAGGGUGCGAGCGUUAAUCGGAUUUACUGGGCGUAAAGCGUGCGCAGGCGGCCCGUUAAGACAGGUGUGAAAUCCCUGGGCUCAACCUAGGAAUUGCGCUUGUGACUGGCGGGCUUGAGGACGGUAGAGGGAGACGGAACUGCUGGUGUAGGGGUGAAAUCCGUAGAGAUCAGGAGGAACACCGAUGGCGAAGGCAGCCCCCUGGGCCUGUACUGACGCUCAUGCACGAAAGCGUGGGGAGCAAACAGG